GGCUAAGAAGACCGAAAGCAUGGAGGCGAGGCUCGAAGCAAUGGAGCAACAGGUCUUCAAGAGAUGGUGUCGGGACCCCGAUCCUAAGCCAUAGGAAUCCAGCCUGUAACACAUCGCAUCUCCUUGCGGUCUCACUCACGGUUAACCCCGUGGCUGCAGCCCUACCUUAGCCGGGACCGUUUGCGCCUUUUGACUCGCGUAUGCAGUUGUGUCGCUAGCAAUCCAAUGACAAAGAACCCGGAUCGACAUGUCUAGUCAUAAACCAAAGUGGCUGUUCCGCACAGGGACAGGCAUACAUGACCCAGCAAAGCAGGUGUCGGUCACCAGCGAAUGUAGCCGAGUCGUAGCAAGCUAUAGGGACUCCACUACAUCGUGUGACAUUUUCCCAAAGGGUACAGACACAGCAGCUAAGAAGGACACACGCCGGUCAACCAAGGUGUCCGGAGCAGUAGCGAACUACCAUGGCUCGUUGGAUCACAAAGGGGCAUUUCCCUGUAAGGAAUGCUGCUAAAGCCUACGGCUAGGUAAUCGAACCCCAUACAUAUCAACUAUGACACACGUACGCAUGGCAUACUGAUAUGUAC
RNAcentral lists this long non-coding RNA (584 nucleotides) under Hordeum vulgare. RNAcentral's name for it is "long non-coding RNA (HVUL_LNC012604)". The record is from RNAcentral. Lineage: Eukaryota; Viridiplantae; Streptophyta; Magnoliopsida; Poales; Poaceae.